RNAcentral lists this transfer RNA (62 nucleotides) under Ligia oceanica (common sea slater). Its description in RNAcentral is "tRNA-Pro". The record is from RNAcentral. Lineage: Eukaryota; Metazoa; Arthropoda; Malacostraca; Isopoda; Ligiidae.
CAAAGAGUAGUUUAUUUAAAAUACUAGUUUUGGAUACUAGAGAAAGUCCUUACUCUCCUUGA